GCAGAGGUACCCGAGUAUGGUCUAAGGGGCGAGGCUCAGGCCCUCGUGGCACAGGCCUUCGUGGGUUCAAGUCCCACCCUCUGCACCA
This 88-nucleotide transfer RNA is filed under the name Candidatus Bathyarchaeota archaeon. RNAcentral's name for it is "tRNA-Leu". It matches the Rfam family "tRNA". From Rfam's summary of the family: Transfer RNA (tRNA) molecules are approximately 80 nucleotides in length. Their secondary structure includes four short double-helical elements and three loops (D, anti-codon, and T loops). RNAcentral also lists the same sequence under 1 other name. Lineage: Archaea; Thermoproteati; Candidatus Bathyarchaeota. The record is from RNAcentral.